CAGUAGCCGCGGUAAGACAGAGGAUGCAAGCGUUAUCCGGAAUGAUUGGGCGUAAAGCGUCUGUAGGUGGCUUUUCAAGUCCGCCGUCAAAUCCCAGGGCUCAACCCUGGACAGGCGGUGGAAACUACCAAGCUGGAGUACGGUAGGGGCAGAGGGAAAUUCCGGUGGAGCGGUGAAAUGCGUUGAGAUCGGAAAGAGCACCAACGGCGAAAGCACUCUGCUGGGCCGACACUGACACUGAGAGACGAAAGCUAGGGGAGCAAAUGGGAUUAGAUACCCGCGUAGUCCCUGUCUCUUAUAC
RNAcentral lists this ribosomal RNA (301 nucleotides) under uncultured bacterium. RNAcentral describes it as "partial 16S ribosomal RNA". It matches the Rfam family "Bacterial small subunit ribosomal RNA", at positions 509 to 807 of the family's 1533-position model. The record is from RNAcentral.